GGUGUCUCGGUACACAUAUUGAUCAGAAGAAGCAUUCUAAGUGGAGUGAUACAGUCAGACUGACGGUGACAGCUCUGCCUACAGCCUCAGUGAAGAUAGUCACUACCCAGGAACCACUGUACUCCGGAGACACAGUCAAGCUGCAGUGUGACAUAUCAGACUACACAGACUGGACGUACCACUGGUUAAUAAAUAAAGAACGGCUUUCCAGUCACACCAGUAAAACCACCACCAUCUUUCUCUCUGACCAGGCUGGUCAGUACCAGUGUGAGGGGACAAGGACAAGACGGCCCCAGAAGUUAUAUCUCAGCUCAUCUCUCCACAUCAGCGUCACUGCUCUGCCUGAAACUACACUGACCGUAAAUCCAAACCCUGCAUACACUGGAGAGAUAGUAACUCUGACAUGUUCAGUGGGGUCUGACAGUGACUGGAGCUAUACAUGGUACAAAGACAAAACUAAGAAAGUAGUGACCUUGUCUGGCAGACACACUACAACAGGAGCCACCUUCACCAUCAGUAGAGCUGCUGAGUCUGACCAGGGUCUCUACUGGUGUCAGGGAGAGAUCCAGUCCAG
This is a long non-coding RNA of Coregonus clupeaformis (lake whitefish), 574 nucleotides long. RefSeq lists it as uncharacterized. The record is from RefSeq and is a predicted model, not a curated record. The transcript has 3 exons. NCBI's taxonomy places the organism in Eukaryota, Metazoa, Chordata, Actinopteri, Salmoniformes, Salmonidae.